Pantherophis guttatus is the source of this 350-nucleotide long non-coding RNA. RefSeq lists it as uncharacterized. The record is from RefSeq and is a predicted model, not a curated record. Lineage: Eukaryota; Metazoa; Chordata; Lepidosauria; Squamata; Colubridae.
AUCUAUAAUGAAUUACAUGAUUCUAGUCACUUGGUAAAUAACUUCAAUGACUGCAUGGAGUUUAUAAGCUCUCUGAAAGUGCAUUUCUCCAAAAGCAGCUUAUCGGAACAUCAUGGGUUUUCUAAGACUGUUGCUGACCUCUAUGAACAACAACAAAAUGCUCAUUUUUAAGUGCAUUUCCCAAAGAAACAGUGAAUUCCUGCUUCAGGCCUACUGUACAAACACUUGAGACUCUUUAUUACUAACUGGGUCCAGUGGCAGAGAAGACAACGACGUUCUUUUGAAGACAAUCAGAGAUGCUAUGUCUGUCCUACUCACCAUAUCAGGGAUAAAGAUGACCUUUAGUCAGA